This is a non-coding RNA of Gossypium hirsutum (cotton), 107 nucleotides long. Lineage: Eukaryota; Viridiplantae; Streptophyta; Magnoliopsida; Malvales; Malvaceae. The record is from Rfam.
AACCCAUGGUGAGGGCACCUUCUCAGUAAGUCCUUGUAUCUUUCCCAUACAUUGUAAAGAGAUUCUAAGUCCUUCUACACAAAUGAAGAGAUAUCAUUACGUAAUUU